CCACUUUAGUUUCAAAGGUUCUUGCUUUAUUGAUAGGGGAGCAGAGCAGCUAGACCAAUAAUCUUUUAGGCUUCAAUCAGAUAGAUUGCUUAAGCAGACUAAGGCUUCAAAUCUUCACCAUGAUGUUUAGAUAGCUUGAUAACGGAUAGAAUACUUAAAAACAGAUUUAGGCUGACCAUCAUCAUGUGUUAUGUCUAUAGCCUUGGAAGAUGUUUGAUUGUUUAAAAGCUUCUUGUUUUUGAGUGUCUCUGUAGAGCAGUGUUUUUAAAACCGGACCGGAAGCUGAACCGGAAAUAUUUUGGGUCACGGUUCAAUAUGGUUCAACCGGGUCAAACCUGGUUCAAUAAUAUGGUUUAAUAUUUUUUUAGUAUGUAAAUAUAAAAGUAAUAUUAGUAAACAUGAUGCAUAGCUAAAAUAUAAAUCAAUUUUGAACAUAAAAUAUUAUAAAUAUAAAUUAGUUUCUUGUUUAUAUGAAUGGUUUAUAGAUUUUCGAUAGUUUUAGUGGUUUUUAUUGGUUUAAUAACUUUGAAAUAUAAUCCGGCUAUGUGGCCGGUUCAUGGUCGAACCAAUUACUAGACCAACCCGGCUAUAUAACCGGUUCACGGUCGAACCCGGUCCGACCAUCGGGUCGGUCCGGUUUUAAAAACACUGCUGUAGAGUAACUCUUAUGAAAGUCUCUUCCUUUUUUUUGUGAAAGGCUGGUUAACUGUAAUGAAAAAAAAAAAUGAUUGUCUUCUGCCUAUGUCAUUUGUAGGAUAUUUUUGACAAGUUUCGGAUAUGGAAGCUAAUCAAAUCGAAUUUCGCUACUUCCGAGUCUUUGAGAUACAGAUUGGUUCAAAUAAGCACUCGGUUUUCAUCUUCUUCUCUGAGUUUUUGUAUCACUAAUUCUACAGAGCAUUGUGCUCUCUCUGUUUAAAGAUACUACAGCAAACCUACUGACAUCUGGUCCAUACGCCCUCGUAUUUGCUUACUUUGUACCCUUCUACUUGGACAUUCCUGUUUCUAAGAGGUUCAAUGUAUUUGGCGCUCACUUCUCUGACAAAUCAUUCAUAUAUCUUGUUGGUGUCCAGCUUUUACUAUCUUCUUGGAAAAGAUCCAUGUUACCUGGUAUCUGUGGCAUAAUUGCUGGUUCCUUGUAUCGGUUGAACAUCUUUUGAUCCCUGGGUUCAUGGCUUCGCUCUUUUCCCGAAUGUCUUUGCCAUCACUGAGCAGCCAUUCUCAAGCACCAAGAAGGACAUCACCCAGCCUAGGUCGCCAAGCAGUGGCAGAGAUCUUAUCAAGCACCGUUGCCGUCAAGUAUAGAGCCAUCUGAAGAAGCAAUAGUUGUUUUUGUUAGGUGGUUGUCUCUUUCACUUACCAUGACGAAAAAAAAAUACAUAUUGUAAAUGGAUUUUUAAUUUCAUUUUCAUUUCAAGUGUGGAAUACGGUAAGAGUGGAUGCAUAUUUCUAAUAUGUAAUAUGUAAAAACUUCAAAUGUUUAGAAAGCAACAGAACUUAGAAUGACA
Brassica napus (rape) is the source of this 1505-nucleotide long non-coding RNA. RefSeq lists it as uncharacterized. The transcript has 6 exons. Lineage: Eukaryota; Viridiplantae; Streptophyta; Magnoliopsida; Brassicales; Brassicaceae. The record is from RefSeq and is a predicted model, not a curated record.